CCUACGGGAGGCUGCAGUGGGGAAUAUUGGACAAUGGGGGCAACCCUGAUCCAGCCAUGCCGCGUGUGUGAAGAAGGCCCUCGGGUUGUAAAGCACUUUCAGUGAGGAAGAACGCCUGGUGGUUAAUACCCAUCAGGAAAGACAUCACUCACAGAAGAAGCACCGGCUAACUCCGUGCCAGCAGCCGCGGUAAUACGGAGGGUGCGAGCGUUAAUCGGAAUUACUGGGCGUAAAGCGCGCGUAGGUGGCUUGAUAAGCCGGUUGUGAAAGCCCCGGGCUCAACCUGGGAACGGCAUCCGGAACUGUCAAGCUAGAGUGCAGGAGAGGAAGGUAGAAUUCCCGGUGUAGCGGUGAAAUGCGUAGAGAUCGGGAGGAAUACCAGUGGCGAAGGCGGCCCUCUGGACUGACACUGACACUGAGGUGCGAAAGCGUGGGUAGCAAACAGGAUUAGAUACCCUUGUAGU
RNAcentral lists this ribosomal RNA (464 nucleotides) under Vreelandella stevensii. RNAcentral describes it as "partial 16S ribosomal RNA". It matches the Rfam family "Bacterial small subunit ribosomal RNA", at positions 338 to 794 of the family's 1533-position model. The record is from RNAcentral. Lineage: Bacteria; Pseudomonadati; Pseudomonadota; Gammaproteobacteria; Oceanospirillales; Halomonadaceae.